This 654-nucleotide ribosomal RNA is filed under the name Oenococcus oeni. RNAcentral's name for it is "bacterial LSU rRNA". It matches the Rfam family "Bacterial large subunit ribosomal RNA", at positions 2270 to 2925 of the family's 2925-position model. Lineage: Bacteria; Bacillati; Bacillota; Bacilli; Lactobacillales; Lactobacillaceae. The record is from RNAcentral.
UGACUGGGGCGGUCGCCUCCUAAAAGAUAACGGAGGCGCUCAAAGGUUUGCUCAGAAUGGUUGGAAAUCAUUCGUAGCGUGUAAAGGCAUAAGCAAGCUUGACUGUGAGACUGACAAGUCGAGCAGGUACGAAAGUAGGACUUAGUGAUCCGGUGGUUCCGUAUGGAAGGGCCAUCGCUCAACGGACAAAAGCUACCCCGGGGAUAACAGGCUCAUCUCCCCCAAGAGUCCACAUCGACGGGGAGGUUUGGCACCUCGAUGUCGGCUCAUCGCAUCCUGGGGCUGUAGUCGGUCCCAAGGGUUGGGCUGUUCGCCCAUUAAAGCGGUACGCGAGCUGGGUUCAGAACGUCGUGAGACAGUUCGGUCCCUAUCCGUCGUGGGCGCAGGAAAUUUGAGAGGAUCUGUCCUUAGUACGAGAGGACCGGGAUGGACAUACCUCUGGUGUACCAGUUGUUCUGCCAAGAGCACCGCUGGGUAGCUACGUAUGGAUUAGAUAAUCGCUGAAAGCAUCUAAGUGAGAAACUAACCUCGAGAUGAGAUUUCCCAUUCGUCAGAAGUAAGACCCCUGAGAGACGAUCAGGUAGAUAGGCUAGAAGUGGAAGUGUAGUGAUGCAUGGAGCGGACUAGUACUAAUAGGUCGAGGACUUAACCAAG